Lynx canadensis (Canada lynx) is the source of this 1860-nucleotide long non-coding RNA. RefSeq lists it as uncharacterized. Lineage: Eukaryota; Metazoa; Chordata; Mammalia; Carnivora; Felidae. The record is from RefSeq and is a predicted model, not a curated record. The transcript is spliced from 6 exons.
CUCUGGGAGCCAACCAAAGGCGCGAAUCUGGAGCCGAAGAGGCAGGAUCGCCAAGCGGACCCGUUUUGGAGGUCACAGCUCCUCUGGGCGCGGCUUAGUGGCGGAGCUUGCCGUGAGGGGAGGGUCUUCCACUUGUCGCCAGCGUGAACUCUGGUGCCCCGUGAGUGUUCGGAAUGGACCCCCAAAUCUGCCCCCGCCAGGUCGCACUCGACUCUGUUUCGACGACUUUUUUUGUAUCACUUUCUCUUUCUUUUUGCCUUGGGGUCCCUUUGGUCCCUCCCUUUCUCUUCGCUCUCAGAAAUCCGAGUUUCGCAGAUGCUUAGCUCAGAGGAGAAAACUGUGUGCGGAAUUAAGUCCUUCCUUCUGUUAGGCAGUUGGAUGGGAGGGACCAAAAAUCACUUGGUGUCCUGACAAGAUUUGUUACUGUUGCUAAGAUCGUCAGCUCUAAUGCUUUGAGGGAGAUAACUUCCUGCAAACCCAGAACUUUCGGAUUUCUUCCGAGCUUGAAGCUUCUUCACUUACCACACCAGAAGAAACCUUGCAUGUGUGCAUUCAACAUGUCCAAGCUUAUGUCCACAUCCUUCACUUCCUGCAAAUAGUGAUGUCUAAUCAGCACAGCUCUGUCUGCCCCCUGAUCUGGGCACACAUGGUCCCCUGAUCUCAUGGACUCCUUACACUUUGCAAUUGGAGGAAGAUCCUUCCAGAUCACGCCACAUGAAGAUGGAGGCAGAUGUUGGACUGAUGCUUCUACAAGCCAGAGAACUCCAAGGUGGCCAGCAUAUCAUCAGAAGCUAUGGGAGAGGCAUGAAACAGAUCUUUCCCUCACUGCCCUCAGAAGGAACAGGUGGUGCUGACACCUUGAUCUCGGAUUCUAGCCUCCAAAACUGAAUUGAGAAGCUUGAUGUGGAGAUAGCCUAAAAGUGAAAGAAGGAGAAGUAUUCAAGGAGGAAAGAAGUAGAGGAAGAAACAACACAUCAUUUCAAUCUGCAAAAGGUAUAGGAAAGACAAAGAAUACAAGCCCUAGAAACUGGUUUGAACUCCAGCAAGUGAUUUCAACAAAAGAACAAAGUGACCAAAAUAACAAAAGACCAGUGAUGUACUUUCAUCUUCUAAGGAACUAACAGAACCUGGAGAACGAAAACCUUCACAUCAAAUUGGAUUCAUGAGCUGUAUACACUGGGCAACGAUGACAGCACAAGAAAUAAUUUCAACUAACUUGUAAGAAAUCAAGUCAAAUUUAAUUUCUACAAUUAAAUGGACUUUUUUUUCUUCUUAAACAGUCAACUACUUAAUUGAAUGGUCAGCUAACCACUGAAUUAGCUAUAGAAAAAUAUUUUUUUAAUUAACCAAGUUGUUAAUUGAUUCCCACAUGUCCCAUCAGCAAGUCCCCUUUCUGGCCCACAGCAGCCUUUUCAACACACUAAUAGGCAUUACAAUCAGACCUACUGGAUAAGAAAAACUACCUUUGGUGUUGUGUCUAUGCUAAAAAAAAACAAAAAAAACAAAAAAAAACUUUGAACUAUUUAAUUAACCUGUAAAUUUCUGAGUCUGGGAAAUUUCAUUUACUCUUUAUAACAAAUGUGAAUGCGGAUAAAGUCACUUCAAGAGAUAAACUGAUAGCAGUUUUAUGAAAUAAGUAGUAGGAUUCUAAGCGUUUUAGAAGAAUCUAACGUAAGAUAAAAAUUCAGAGAAGAAAAACUCUGAUUCAGACAGCUUUUACUAUUUGGAAACCCAUAUAAUGACCUAUCUCAUUUGGUAAUUCCAAAAAUUAGGUUUCAAAAUACCAUACAUCACCCAUAUUAUAAUGCCACUUAUAUUCCAAAGUACUUAAAUAUUUGGAAAAAUUUUUUGUACCUGCAA